This 403-nucleotide long non-coding RNA is filed under the name Mytilus galloprovincialis (Mediterranean mussel). The record is from RNAcentral. Lineage: Eukaryota; Metazoa; Mollusca; Bivalvia; Mytilida; Mytilidae.
GACAUAAUUUUUGAUUAGUAAAUUGUCCAUUAAAUACAGCUUUUUAAAAUACACUUCAAAUAUCAAUAAAAUGAUUUUUACAUUACUGAAAAAAUAUGAUUUACCAAUAUAUUGACUUAAAUUUAAAUUUCCCUAUGUUUACUGUAUUAACUGGUGCCGUAUAUUUAGUGAAUCAAUGAUUAUCUCCCCUUGUACAAUGUCUUGUAUUGAUAUUGACUCAAUGAUUGUAUACAUGAAAAUGAUCAACAGCCAGAGAAAAAGAUAGAACAUUAUCCUCCUAUUGAUUCUUCUAUUAAACAAAAGUCAACGUUCGGCCCACUGCUUCUGUUGAUAAUACACACGUUAAAAACAGGAGACAAAAUGUCAAUUGACUAUUCGGAAUUAAACCAAUAUUGGUGGGGGC